AGGGGCAUAGUGCAAUGGUAGCAUACCGGUCUCCAAAACCGUUGAUGUCAGUUCGAAUCUGGCUGCCCCUG
Molecule: transfer RNA, 71 nt
Filed under: Bacteroidota bacterium
Lineage: Bacteria; Pseudomonadati; Bacteroidota
Description: Bacteroidetes bacterium (activated sludge metagenome) tRNA-Trp
Rfam family: tRNA
About the family: Transfer RNA (tRNA) molecules are approximately 80 nucleotides in length. Their secondary structure includes four short double-helical elements and three loops (D, anti-codon, and T loops). Further hydrogen bonds mediate the characteristic L-shaped molecular structure. tRNAs have two regions of fundamental functional importance: the anti-codon, which is responsible for specific mRNA codon recognition, and the 3' end, to which the tRNAs corresponding amino acid is attached (by aminoacyl-tRNA synthetases). tRNAs cope with the degeneracy of the genetic code in two manners: having more than one tRNA (with a specific anti-codon) for a particular amino acid; and 'wobble' base-pairing, i.e. permitting non-standard base-pairing at the 3rd anti-codon position.
Source: RNAcentral